UUGCCGACCCUCAGUAGGA
Molecule: small nuclear RNA, 19 nt
Filed under: Arabidopsis thaliana (thale cress)
Lineage: Eukaryota; Viridiplantae; Streptophyta; Magnoliopsida; Brassicales; Brassicaceae
Description: snRNA_03963
Source: RNAcentral